UACAGAGGGUGCGAGCGUUAAUCGGAAUUACUGGGCGUAAAGCGUGCGUAGACGGUUAUUUAAGUCGGAUGUGAAAGCCCCGGGCUCAACCUGGGAAUUGCAUUCGAGACUGAAUAGCUAGGGUGCGGUAGAGGGAAGCGGAAUUUCCGGUGUAGCGGUGAAAUGCGUAGAUAUCGGAAGGAACAUCAGUGGCGAAAGCGGCUUCCUGGACCAGCACCGACGUUCAGGCACGAAAGCGUGGGAGCAAACAGG
RNAcentral lists this ribosomal RNA (252 nucleotides) under uncultured bacterium. RNAcentral's name for it is "partial 16S ribosomal RNA". It matches the Rfam family "Bacterial small subunit ribosomal RNA", at positions 524 to 776 of the family's 1533-position model. The record is from RNAcentral.